CAAUAGCGUAUAUUAAAGUUGUUGCGGUUAAAAAGCUCGUAGUUGGAUCUCGGCAGGCAGGGGGUGGUUCGCUCUUAGCGCUACUGCCCCAUUUGCCUGUGUGAUUGGCGGAGGUUUCGGGGUGCUCUUCGUUGAGUGACCCGGGGCGCCGUCAGGUUUACUUUGAAAAAAUUAGAGUGCUCAAAGCAGGCUUUUCACGCUUGAAUAUUCGUGCAUGGAAUAAUGGAAUAGGAACUCGUUUCUAUUUUGUUGGUUUUCGGAAAUCGAGUUAAUGAUUAAUAGGGACAAUUGGGGGUAUUAGUAUUCAGACGACAGAGGUGAAAUUCUUGGACCGUCUGAAGACUAACUACUGCGAAAGCAUUUGCCAAGAGUGUUUUCAUUAA
RNAcentral lists this ribosomal RNA (383 nucleotides) under uncultured eukaryote. Its description in RNAcentral is "partial 18S ribosomal RNA". It matches the Rfam family "Eukaryotic small subunit ribosomal RNA", at positions 592 to 976 of the family's 1831-position model. The record is from RNAcentral.